Molecule: ribosomal RNA, 547 nt
Filed under: uncultured soil bacterium
Lineage: Bacteria
Description: bacterial SSU rRNA
Rfam family: Bacterial small subunit ribosomal RNA
Source: RNAcentral
AACGCUGGCGGUAUGCUUAACACAUGCCUCUCGAACGGGAUCUUCGGAUUUAGUGGCGGACGGGUGAGUAACGCGUGAGAAUCUGCCUUUAGGACGGGGACAACAGUUGGAAACGGCUGCUAAAACCCGAUGUGCCCUUAGGGGUGAAAUAUUUAUAGCCUGAAGAUGAGCUCGCGUCUGAUUAGCUAGUAGGUUGGGUAAUGGCUGACCUAGGCGACGAUCAGUAACUGGUCUGAGAGGAUGACCAGUCACACUGGGACUGAGACACGGCCCAGACUCCUACGGGAGGCAGCAGUGGGGAAUUUUCCGCUAUGGGCGCAAGCCUGACGGAGCAAUACCGCGUGAGGGAGGAAGGCUCUUGGGUCGUAAACCUCUUUUAUCAGGGAAGAACACAAUAACGGUACCUGAUGAAUCAUCAUCCGCUAACUCCGUGCCAGCAACCGCGGUAGCCGCGGUAAUACAGAGGAUGCAAGCGUUAUCCGGAAUUAUUGGGCGUAAAGCGUCCGCAGGUGGUUUUGGUAGUCUGCUGUCAAAGCGCGAGGCUCAA